RNAcentral lists this ribosomal RNA (476 nucleotides) under fungal endophyte sp. DM196. RNAcentral describes it as "eukaryotic LSU rRNA". It matches the Rfam family "Eukaryotic large subunit ribosomal RNA", at positions 142 to 636 of the family's 3401-position model. Lineage: Eukaryota; Fungi. The record is from RNAcentral.
GUUGUAAUUUGUAGAGGANGCUUUUGGCGCGGUGCCUUCCGAGUUCCCUGGAACGGGACGCCUUAGAGGGUGAGAGCCCCGUACGGUUGGACACCAAGCCUCUGUAAAGCUCCUUCGACGAGUCGAGUAGUUUGGGAAUGCUGCUCUAAAUGGGAGGUAAAUUUCUUCUAAAGCUAAAUAUUGGCCAGAGACCGAUAGCGCACAAGUAGAGUGAUCGAAAGAUGAAAAGCACUUUGAAAAGAGGGUUAAACAGCACGUGAAAUUGUUGAAAGGGAAGCGUUUGCGACCAGACCUUUUCCUGGCGGAUCAUCCGGUGGUUUCCACCGGUGCACUUCGCCAGGUCGAGGCCAGCAUCGGUCUCUGUAGGGGGAUAAAAGCUCGGGGAACGUAGCUCCUCCGGGAGUGUUAUAGCCCUCUGCAUAAUACCCUUACGGGGACCGAGGACCGCGCCUUCGGGCAAGGAUGCUGGCGUAAUG